This 107-nucleotide small nucleolar RNA is filed under the name Gossypium hirsutum (cotton). Its description in RNAcentral is "Plant small nucleolar RNA R71". It matches the Rfam family "Plant small nucleolar RNA R71". Rfam says of the family: R71 is a member of the C/D box family of snoRNAs containing the C (UGAUGA) and D (CUGA) box motifs. Lineage: Eukaryota; Viridiplantae; Streptophyta; Magnoliopsida; Malvales; Malvaceae. The record is from Rfam by way of RNAcentral.
AUUUCGUGAUAAGGGCACUUCCAUAAUAAUUCUUUAUACCUUUCUCAUGCUUCGUACAACGACUCAUCAACCAUUUUUUGGAAAGUAGUGAUCUUGUUUCUCAACUU